This 497-nucleotide ribosomal RNA is filed under the name uncultured bacterium. Its description in RNAcentral is "partial 16S ribosomal RNA". It matches the Rfam family "Bacterial small subunit ribosomal RNA", at positions 28 to 507 of the family's 1533-position model. The record is from RNAcentral.
GAUGAACGCUGGCGGCGUGCCUAAUACAUGCAAGUCGAGCGAACAGACGAGGAGCUUGCUCCUCUGACGUUAGCGGCGGACGGGUGAGUAACACGUGGAUAACCUACCUAUAAGACUGGGAUAACUUCGGGAAACCGGAGCUAAUACCGGAUAAUAUCUUGAACCGCAUGGUUCAAUAGUGAAAUACGGUUUUGCUGUCUCUUAUAGAUGGAUCCGCGCCGCAUUAGCUAGUUGGUAAGGUAACGGCUUACCAAGGCAACGAGGCGUAGCCGACCUGAGAGGGUGAUCGGCCACACUGGAACUGAGACACGGUCCAGACUCCUACGGGAGGCAGCAGUAGGGAAUCUUCCGCAAUGGGCGAAAGCCUGACGGAGCAACGCCGCGUGAGUGAUGAAGGUCUUCGGAUCGUAAAACUCGGUUAUUAGGGAAGAACAAAUGUGUAAGUAACUAUGCACGUCGUGACGGUACCUAAUCAGAAAGCCACGGCUAACUACGUG